This 25-nucleotide small nuclear RNA is filed under the name Arabidopsis thaliana (thale cress). RNAcentral describes it as "snRNA_13946". The record is from RNAcentral. Lineage: Eukaryota; Viridiplantae; Streptophyta; Magnoliopsida; Brassicales; Brassicaceae.
AACAAAACACUCUACUUGAAGUAGU